This 763-nucleotide long non-coding RNA is filed under the name Pollicipes pollicipes. Its description in RNAcentral is "uncharacterized LOC119107689". Lineage: Eukaryota; Metazoa; Arthropoda; Thecostraca; Pollicipedomorpha; Pollicipedidae. The record is from RNAcentral.
UGUUAACGCGAAAAGGCGCAGAUGGAGUAUAUCGUACACGAAGAGCGGCAAGCGUCAGUUGCAAGCCUGCCCUGUCGCAGAGAGCACCAUGGCGUCCGUGGCGGUGGUGCUGGCCGCCCUGCUGAUAGUGGGGAUCGGCGCUCCUGACGCCGCUGAUGCGGCGAGACUGAGACCGCUCUCCGGAUGCUUCAUACACGGGUGUCCUUCCGGUCAAAUUUGCAAGCUGCAGCAGGUGGUCUGCUGCUGCGCGCCAUGCUACCCCAUUCCAACCUGCGUCCCCAUCUUCCCCUGAGGCACCGUCUGCGAUCUCUGCGCCGGGUCACGACCCCGUUCGGAUCGACCUGACUCAACUACCAACGCCAAACUCGACUUCCUGAUUCAACUCGACAUUGCUUCACUGUCGCUACUCCGUCAGCCACCUACCCCGGGCCAAGACCAUGUCAGGCUUCUGUCCACCGCCGGAACACGUGUUCCAGUUCGACGUGCAAUUCGGCGGGUACGACAACGAAGUUAACUCCACCCUGCCUUCCGCGUAUCCAGAGGACGAACAGCACCACCCUCGCCUGUCCGGGUUUGUGCCAUGACUUCAGGUGGCCCCCCCCCCCCCCCUUCAGCCGCCGACAUCAUCGCGUGUGCUUGCCGGGCAGCUUCUCUUGCCGUGGCGGCGCCGGUCGUCGUGGUGGCUUCUUUUGUGGUGGCGGCUUUUCUUGUCGUGGCAGCGUUUACCAUUAAAUGUGCCGAUAGAAUACAUACUUUGACAUUA